UGGGGAAUAUUGCACAAUGGGCGCAAGCCUGAUGCAGCGACGCCGCGUGAGGGAUGGAGGCCUUCGGGUUGUAAACCUCUUUCGCCAGUGAAGCAGGCCAUCUUCUUUGUGGGGUGGUUGACGGUAGCUGGAUAAGAAGCGCCGGCUAACUACGUACCAGCAGCCGCGGUAAUACGUAGGGCGCGAGCGUUGUCCGGAAUUAUUGGGCGUAAAGAGCUCGUAGGCGGCUGGUCGCGUCUGUCGUGAAAUCCCCUGGCUUAACUGGGGGCUUGCGGUGGGUACGGGCCGGCUUGAGUGCGGUAGGGGAGACUGGAAUUCCUGGUGUAGCGGUGGAAUGCGCAGAUAUCAGGAGGAACACCGGUGGCGAAGGCGGGUCUCUGGGCCGUUACUGACGCUGAGGAGCGAAAGCGUGGGGAGCGAACAGG
This 425-nucleotide ribosomal RNA is filed under the name bacterium. RNAcentral describes it as "partial 16S ribosomal RNA". It matches the Rfam family "Bacterial small subunit ribosomal RNA", at positions 355 to 776 of the family's 1533-position model. The record is from RNAcentral.